Molecule: transfer-messenger RNA, 383 nt
Filed under: Christensenellaceae
Lineage: Bacteria; Bacillati; Bacillota; Clostridia; Christensenellales
Also listed under: 1 other name
Description: Coproplasma avistercoris Standard tmRNA
Rfam family: transfer-messenger RNA
About the family: Bacterial tmRNA, also known as 10Sa RNA or SsrA, is named for its dual tRNA and mRNA-like properties.
Source: RNAcentral
GGGCCUGACUCAGUUUCGAUUGCGGGCGGAGGGCGAUGUAAGCAUACCGGAGGCACGGCUCCGUAAAAAACGGAACUUAAACUUAAACGCAGAAUCGAAAGAUUCCAAAGUUGUUGCGUUCCCUGUAAACAGGGCCGCAAUGGCUUGCGCCGCUUAAAUAAGCGGUCCGUCCUUCGCGCAGUUCCGCCGCGCGCGCGGGGCGUCAUUCAGGCGGAUAACGGUUCGGGCGCUUUUGCCGCGGUGCCCGUUCCGUAAUUUUGCGGCAUGCCUGCACGCGCUCCCGUUUACCGGGGUGCGUGCAGUAAGUUCAAAGGUAAACUAAGUAUGUAGAAAGCUCGUCCGAACCCCGUAAGACCAGAGUGCAACUCUCUGCAGGUCCACCA